UAAAAAAGUAAGCCUCUCUCUCUCUCUCUCACUCAAUUUUCAUUUCUUAUAGCUCUGAUCACCACAUCAAGGCCUCAAGGUAAUUUUGAUAGUGUAUCAUACACCCCAACAUCAUUAGCAGAGAAAGUAGGGUUCGAUGGGGUUGUGUUUCCUCUUUGUCUACGCCUCCUUCAGAGAUAAUAAGAGAACAGUGGGGACUGCUGUUUCCGGUUGCAACAUCAAUAGGCAUGAGAAAGACAGAUAGCUUAAUGUGCAGUUUGUGUUAAGAUGCAGAUCUUUAAGUGAUGAUGAUCUUAGACCAAACAUACUUAAAGUUCUCUCUUGCAAUGAGCAAAGAAGGGAGGUGAUUGUUAUGCAAACUAACAGAAUCGACAGUUCCUUCACCUUCUAUAAGAUUGUCUCAGCAGGAAUACAUAUUGAUCAAAUGAACAAUGGCAAGAGGUCACUCGUAAGCAAGGAGAAAAAAAGAGGAUUUCCCUAAUCAAGGGAAAUAAAUCAACUUGGGAUACAUGCGAAUGGAGAAGAUUAGAGAAACCCCUAUAUAUUCUCAAUUUGCUCAAUCCUAUAAUUUUGAACCGAUCUCUUACAACGACAUUGUAGAUAUACAAAAAUAUAUUCUGCAAUA
Amborella trichopoda is the source of this 625-nucleotide long non-coding RNA. RefSeq lists it as uncharacterized. The record is from RefSeq and is a predicted model, not a curated record. Lineage: Eukaryota; Viridiplantae; Streptophyta; Magnoliopsida; Amborellales; Amborellaceae.